GACCUCUCAGGAUCACAUCUGGAGAGUUACCAGUCUUGACUUUGGGAGGGAGAAUCAAGCAGAGGUCUACCCAUUCCAUUCCUAGCUUGGGCAGUGGCUAGGGAGUGGAAGACAAUCUACUACAAAU
Molecule: small nucleolar RNA, 127 nt
Filed under: Ornithorhynchus anatinus (platypus)
Lineage: Eukaryota; Metazoa; Chordata; Mammalia; Monotremata; Ornithorhynchidae
Source: RNAcentral